GCCGACGUGGUGGAAUUGGUAGACACGCCGUCUUGAGGGGGCGGUGGCGAAAGCCGUGGGAGUUCGAGUCUCCCCGCCGGCACCA
RNAcentral lists this transfer RNA (85 nucleotides) under Sulfuricaulis sp. Its description in RNAcentral is "tRNA-Leu". It matches the Rfam family "tRNA". From Rfam's summary of the family: Transfer RNA (tRNA) molecules are approximately 80 nucleotides in length. The record is from RNAcentral. Lineage: Bacteria; Pseudomonadati; Pseudomonadota; Gammaproteobacteria; Acidiferrobacterales; Acidiferrobacteraceae.